This 65-nucleotide transfer RNA is filed under the name Oecanthus sinensis. RNAcentral describes it as "tRNA-Glu". Lineage: Eukaryota; Metazoa; Arthropoda; Insecta; Orthoptera; Gryllidae. The record is from RNAcentral.
AUUUAUAUAGUUUAUUUAAAACUAUACAUUUUCAUUGUAUAAAAAAUGAUUAUCAUUUAUAAAUA